This 994-nucleotide unclassified non-coding RNA is filed under the name Hevea brasiliensis (rubber tree). Lineage: Eukaryota; Viridiplantae; Streptophyta; Magnoliopsida; Malpighiales; Euphorbiaceae. The record is from RNAcentral.
CAACUGAAUCCAGUCCGCGCCAUUUAGUAUUGAAGGACUUGAAUCUUAAUGAUAGAUAGAUAUCACUAACCCCAUUAAACAAACAACAUAGAGGCUUUGGUCAUGUUCAAAGCCCUCUGAGAAGGAUGCAUCCUCCAAAAAUUGAAAGAAAUCUAGAACGAAAAGAAAGAACAAAAUCGCGAUAAAUGACUAAUCUGAUUGCAAAUCAUCCUCUUAAUCAUCCACAAAUCCAGGAUCUGUAAUUAUAUUCUCCAAUUCUUUAGCUUUUUCAUCAUUGAAGCCCAGUGCAGCCAAUACCUUAUAACCUGGUGAUCCUUGUUGUGCCCACACUCCAAGGAGCACAUGAGUAGUUGUAAUCUCCCCACCGUUACCGGAUUUGAGUUUUUCAUCAAAUGCCCAAUCUAGAGCCUUUUGCGCGUCUUCAGUCAAAGGAGGUUCCUUGGGACUGCAAUGGAAUACGUCCCCUUUUCCAAGUAUUUUGAUAGCUUCUUCACGAAAUUUCAAGAGAGUAAUACUGUUUGCCAUCAAAUAUUUUGAAGCAAAAUUUGUCCCUUCAAUCAACAUCCCCAGGAUAAGAGCUUCUGUUCCAGUAGUAUCAUAUUUAAGUUUUCUUGCUUCCAGUUCAGCCAUGGUAAAUGAUUUUACCGCCUUUGCUGACCAUUUAGGAAUUUUCUCUAUUGGUACUGUAGGCUCCGACUUCCCACGGGGAAGGACGAAGGAGACAUUUGCUCUAAUAGUGCACUGUUUUGACAGAAAUUGCUUGAAAUUCUUGGACUGAAGAGAGAAUUUGAUUGGAGUACCUAGCCAUUUACACUGCAGAUUUUUCAGUUCCAAUGGGUUUUUGGUCCAGAGAAAUGAAUCGGUUCCUCUGCAAUUCAGCUGAUUGAUGCUCUUAGAAGUUGCUGCCACUGUGGAGAUAGCUUGAACAGCCAUUUUUGCCGUAAAACUCAGCUCCAAUUUGAGAAAAAAUGAGUUGAAAAUUGGACCUUUCUGG